RNAcentral lists this ribosomal RNA (253 nucleotides) under uncultured bacterium. RNAcentral's name for it is "partial 16S ribosomal RNA". It matches the Rfam family "Bacterial small subunit ribosomal RNA", at positions 524 to 776 of the family's 1533-position model. The record is from RNAcentral.
UACGAAGGGUGCAAGCGUUACUCGGAAUUACUGGGCGUAAAGCGUGCGUAGGUGGUGCGUUAAGUCUGAUGUGAAAUCCCCGGGCUUAACCUGGGAAUGGCAUUUGGGACUGCAAGGCUUGAGUGCGGCAGAGGAGACUAGAAUUCCUGGUGUAGCAGUGAGAUGCGUAGAUAUCAGGAGGAAUACCGAUGGCGAAGGCAGGUCUCUGGGCUGACACUGACGCUCAUGCACGAAAGCGUGGGGAGCAAACAGG